GAUGUUACAUGAAUAAAAAAGUUAGGGGUCCACCACACAUGCCCAACCAUUUCACCAAGUUGGCUAAUGAACUGAUGGUUUCAGCAACACACCACCUCAUACUUAUGAUCUUGAUUGUUGCCUUCUUUCUGGAACAUACGCAUUAGCAGUGAAUUCUUUGCCAACAUCUACCCAUAUAUCUUUCUUGCAGAUGAUUGUGCGACAGCCUAUCUUGUGGAUGCGUAUGUCUCCAGAGGAAAGUCUGAGUUGUUAGAUGGAAAAGUCAUGAUUACAUCAUCAGGAAGGUCAGACGCCAUUGCAAGGGCUCAGCCUUUUCUCUCUGGUAAAAUAUGUUCUUGGUACUCUAACAUGGUUGUAUUAGGACAUCGUUUAAUGAACCAUUAUUUUUCAUUUAAGAUAUCAAUAUAUCAACUGUUAUUGUGAUUUGUGUGUGGCAAUGUGUGACAAGCUUUACAUUUUUGAGAGUGAAGUUGGUGCUGGAAGUAAAAUUAACAUGGUCAAUGAUCUGCUGAGGGCAUUCAUCUUGUUGCUUCUCUGGAGGCUAUCUCUCUUGGUGUCAAAGCUGGUAUCCAUCCCUGGAUUGUCUAUGAUAUCAUUUCUAAUGCAGCAGGGAAUUCAUGGUGAGUGCUUCUAUUCUCAAUUUAAUAUUUUCUUUGAUAAAUGUUUUUAUGUUCUGAAAUUUAAGAUUCCAGAUUAGAGGCAAGCCUAAGAAUGAGAUGCUGUAAAUUCUUGGGUUUUUAAUUCUGCAGCUAUAUCAUGGGGAGCUGGAAACAUGUCUAUGACAGUUGAGAAUUGUUAACCAUCAGGA
Carya illinoinensis is the source of this 808-nucleotide long non-coding RNA. RefSeq lists it as uncharacterized. The transcript has 3 exons. Lineage: Eukaryota; Viridiplantae; Streptophyta; Magnoliopsida; Fagales; Juglandaceae. The record is from RefSeq and is a predicted model, not a curated record.